GGAUUGUGGCUCAGUGGUAGAGCGCUUGUCUAGCAUGCAUGAGACACUGGGUUCAAUCCCCGUCACCA
RNAcentral lists this transfer RNA (68 nucleotides) under Marmota monax (woodchuck). RNAcentral's name for it is "tRNA.Ala". The stretch from base 5 to 65 matches the Rfam family "tRNA", at positions 6 to 65 of the family's 71-position model. From Rfam's summary of the family: Transfer RNA (tRNA) molecules are approximately 80 nucleotides in length. Their secondary structure includes four short double-helical elements and three loops (D, anti-codon, and T loops). Lineage: Eukaryota; Metazoa; Chordata; Mammalia; Rodentia; Sciuridae. The record is from RNAcentral.